GCAGGAUUUCCAACUUCAACCAAUUUCCACGAUUAAACUAGAUAGCGUUUUAACCUCAGAAGGAUUUUUUUAUGCUCAAAAUUAAGUCAAAAAUCACCCAAAUUUUUGUUCAUCAUGGAACAUUGGAUAAGCUCGAAGAAGGGGCAUCCCAUCUCAUGGGAUGCGAAACCUAUUUCUGCACAUAAAGAUUGCACCCACGCGCAAG
RNAcentral lists this long non-coding RNA (205 nucleotides) under Elaeis guineensis (African oil palm). Its description in RNAcentral is "long non-coding RNA (EGUI_LNC068815)". The record is from RNAcentral. Lineage: Eukaryota; Viridiplantae; Streptophyta; Magnoliopsida; Arecales; Arecaceae.